Molecule: non-coding RNA, 118 nt
Filed under: Hespellia stercorisuis
Lineage: Bacteria; Bacillati; Bacillota; Clostridia; Lachnospirales; Lachnospiraceae
Also listed under: 1 other name
Description: FMN sequence
Rfam family: FMN riboswitch aptamer (RFN element)
About the family: The RFN element is a highly conserved domain that is found frequently in the 5'-untranslated regions of prokaryotic mRNAs that encode for flavin mononucleotide (FMN) biosynthesis and transport proteins.
Source: RNAcentral
AAAGUUCUUCGGGGUAGGGUGCAAGUCCCAACCGGCGGUAUAGUCCGCGACCCACUUAGGUGGCUGAUUUGGUGCGAUUCCAAAACCGACAGUAAAGUCUGGAUGAGAGAAGAGAUUG